CCCGGGGCUCCGCCUCCGUCUCCUCCCGGAGCGCCGUCCCUACCCGACCCGCUGCGCCCGCCUCCUCCGCCCCUGGCUGAGCACCGCCCCCAGACCUUCCCGGGUCACCCUUCCUCCGGGCCGCCCACGCCCCAUCUGGACGCUUUCCGGGACCCUUAGGCAUCUCUGGGGCUGCUGUAGAGUCCCCCGUACAAGCGCUGCGGUUGUAGAUGGCCACAAGGGGUUAACUCCGGGCGAAGACCGCCAUGGCGCCACGUGGCACUGAUGACAAAGGAAACUUCUUCCUGCACGUGCCGAACCUGGCUCUCAACCAUCCUCGCUCCUUCGAGCUCUUAGGCACUCAUUGCAUUUUCAGGGUCCUAAGCAGGAAUUAAAGGACUCCAGUCAGCAGUCUCUGGUCAGCGGAAGGAGCCUGUAUUCCAUCAGUUUAAGUGAGGGGACAACCCAAGAGCUUUAAACUUCCAAAAAUGGCCAAGCUAAUCCUGGAAUUUCAGAAAUCGCAAGAGCUCCGGGAGGUUUGCUGACUGCAAACAAACUGAAGAGGAUGGAAAGUUCCCACAGGGAAGCUGAUGUAUCUAUCCCCAAAGGGGUCAGGCUUGCUAGGAGGAGACCACACAGUUAAAGUUAAGACGGGGCUGUGGGCUGUCUGAGGCCCCAUCCCACUCUCUGAUUUUCAAAAGAUUAACAGGUCUUAGGUAACCAUGAUGUCCAAUUCUGAAAAGGCAACUAAAUACCAACCGUGGCUUAGUUGUCUCUAAAGUAGCCCUUGCCUAACGCUAAAGCCAAGUGCAGAAAUGACUUGAAUUCCUUGAUAUAAGUGGAAUGUCACAAAUGUGGCAGGCUCCGUAAUAAAAUAUACAACCGCU
This is a non-coding RNA of Rattus norvegicus (Norway rat), 866 nucleotides long. Lineage: Eukaryota; Metazoa; Chordata; Mammalia; Rodentia; Muridae. The record is from RefSeq and is a predicted model, not a curated record.